UCAAAAUAGCCGGCCUGGCCGAGCAGCGCCUACUCUCCUCCCCGCCGCCGCCGCCAGAUCCGGCGACCGCUGACCUCCUCGCCUCCAGCGCCGGCCCUGACACCCCCCGCGAGCCGCUGCGCGGCCGUCCAGCGUGCCCCGGCGCCCCGGCCAGCGGCCGCCCUCGCGCCCCAGUGUCCCGGACAGCGGCCGCCCGCGCGCGGCCCCCGAGGCCCGGCGCCCUGGAGCGGCUGCCUCCCGCGCCCCAUGCUCCCGGCUCGCGGCCACCCGCGGCCCCGGCGCCCCGUAGCCUCGGGGCGGCCUGUCUCGGCCCUACACGGCUCAGCAGCGGGGCGGCCUCGGAAGCGGGCGACCUGGCAGGUGGCGUGCGGCACCAAACCUCGGCGGCUAUUGCCUUCCCCUCCCAUUCCAGUCCCAUGUUGGGUCAGGAGGCCACAACGCUCGGGUGGAUUGUGUCCUGCGUUGGCGGCGGUGCGUCCGAGCGACGAGCCAAUGACGGCGGCAACAAGUUGUGCCGCCGUUCGGCUACGCAGAGGAGCAUGUGGUGGCCUCUUGCUGCUGUCGGCAGGCCGCGUAGCUACAGCGACGAGCUAGCAGCGGCGUAGGUGGUGCCCGUUGGCUUCUGCCUGCAAGCCGUGAGGGUCAACGCCGUGGCCAGCUGGGUGCAGUGAGGCAGCCCUGAUAUGACGAGGAUGCGGUGCUGUCCGACUGCAAAUACACUGCUCAAGGAGGUUAUCAGUGCCGAGGAGGUUCUCCAUCUCUUUGUCAGCCUUCAUGAUUGACUGGUGCAGCUCCCAGGGUUACCGCUUCAUAAGGUAGCCUGUUUCUUUUGGUGCUAGAUAUUCUGUAGCUAUCUACUACGAAUGAGAGAAUCUUGGCAAAGAGUCUCCCUAUAGGAUAGUUUGCCCUCCUUGUGUACUGGGCAGCUUAUUUUGAGUUCCUGACAGAUCACGGAGGUGAAUGAGUAGUGUAUGACAGUGGGUAUUAGGAGAAGGAUGCUUGCUCCGCGAUGUUGUUCUGUGUUACUAAAGUCAACCAGGUUUGAGUUUUCAUGUUUUGUUUGUGCCCCAUUGACCAGUAUAAUUUUGACAAUUCCAUUUUACAAGACCAAUAUAUAAAUGUUUUCUAUUCUGUUUCACAAGAAAA
Long non-coding RNA from Panicum virgatum (switchgrass), 1146 nucleotides. RefSeq lists it as uncharacterized. The transcript has 4 exons. NCBI's taxonomy places the organism in Eukaryota, Viridiplantae, Streptophyta, Magnoliopsida, Poales, Poaceae. The record is from RefSeq and is a predicted model, not a curated record.